AUUGCCCUAGUAACGGCGAGUGAAGCGGCAACAGCUCAAAUUUGAAAUCUGGCUCUCGGGCCCGAGUUGUAAUUUGUAGAGGAUGCUUUUGGCAAGGUGCCUUCCGAGUUCCCUGGAACGGGACGCCAUAGAGGGUGAGAGCCCCGUCUGGUUGGACACCGAGCCUCUGUAAAGCUCCUUCGACGAGUCGAGUAGUUUGGGAAUGCUGCUCUAAAUGGGAGGUAUAUGUCUUCUAAAGCUAAAUACUGGCCAGAGACCGAUAGCGCACAAGUAGAGUGAUCGAAAGAUGAAAAGCACUUUGAAAAGAGAGUUAAAAAGCACGUGAAAUUGUUGAAAGGGAAGCGCUUAUGACCAGACUUGGGCUUGGUUGAUCAUCCGGCGUUCUCGCCGGUGCACUCUUCCAGUUCAGGCCAGCAUCAGUUUGCCCCGGGGGAUAAAAGCUUCGGGAAUGUGGCUCCUCCGGGAGUGUUAUAGCCCGUUGCAUAAUACCCUGGGGCAGACUGAGGACCGCGCUUCGUGCAAGGAUGCUGGCGUAAUGGUCAUCAGCGACCCG
RNAcentral lists this ribosomal RNA (553 nucleotides) under Fusarium sp. Its description in RNAcentral is "LSU rRNA". It matches the Rfam family "Eukaryotic large subunit ribosomal RNA", at positions 74 to 651 of the family's 3401-position model. The record is from RNAcentral. Lineage: Eukaryota; Fungi; Ascomycota; Sordariomycetes; Hypocreales; Nectriaceae.